This 253-nucleotide ribosomal RNA is filed under the name uncultured bacterium. Its description in RNAcentral is "partial 16S ribosomal RNA". It matches the Rfam family "Archaeal small subunit ribosomal RNA", at positions 474 to 727 of the family's 1478-position model. The record is from RNAcentral.
UACCAGCACCCCGAGUGGUCGGGACGUUUAUUGGGCCUAAAGCAUCCGUAGCCGGUUCUACAAGUCUUCCGUUAAAUCCACCUGCUUAACAGAUGGGCUGCGGAAGAUACUAUAGAGCUAGGAGGCGGGAGAGGCAAGCGGUACUCGAUGGGUAGGGGUAAAAUCCGUUGAUCCAUUGAAGACCACCAGUGGCGAAGGCGGCUUGCCAGAACGCGCUCGACGGUGGGGGAUGAAAGCUGGGGGAGCAAACCGG